UACGAAGGGGGCUAGCGUUGUUCGGAAUUACUGGGCGUAAAGCGCACGUAGGCGGACAUUUAAGUCAGGGGUGAAAUCCCAGAGCUCAACUCUGGAACUGCCUUUGAUACUGGGUGUCUUGAGUAUGGAAGAGGUGAGUGGAAUUCCGAGUGUAGAGGUGAAAUUCGUAGAUAUUCGGAGGAACACCAGUGGCGAAGGCGGCUCACUGGUCCAUUACGGACGCUGAGGUGCGAAAGCGUGGGGAGCAAACAGG
Molecule: ribosomal RNA, 253 nt
Filed under: uncultured bacterium
Lineage: Bacteria
Description: partial 16S ribosomal RNA
Rfam family: Bacterial small subunit ribosomal RNA
Source: RNAcentral